Long non-coding RNA from Vitis riparia (riverbank grape), 683 nucleotides. RefSeq lists it as uncharacterized. Lineage: Eukaryota; Viridiplantae; Streptophyta; Magnoliopsida; Vitales; Vitaceae. The transcript has 2 exons. The record is from RefSeq and is a predicted model, not a curated record.
UUGCUUUUGCAGGUCACUUGAAAGAAAUAGUCUUAAACCUUUUCCUUUUCCUCCUUUAUCAUCUAAGUAUUUUCUGAAGUGCCCUUUUUGCUUCCCGUACCACUUUGCAUGCAGGCAUUUAUAGAGGCUUGAAACUCCAAUCAUGGCAGAGAUGGCUUGAAACUCCCCAACGGUUUAGAAGGUGCACUGGCUCUAUUGUAUGAUGUUAAGAAGCAACAUCAUGCGCUUCUUGGUAACAAAAAUCUGUGCAAUUUGUGCAAACCUUGAUAUCAAAAUUGUUGAGACCUCAACUUCAAGAUUCAUGUAAAUGCAAAGAAAGCCAUUAAAAUUUCUUAGAGAAACAUUCCUUUAAAUAUUCUUACUUAAUUUAUAUUAAACAUGUAUUCUCCCAAGCUUUGUUCAAAACAAACACCAGUUUUUCUAAAAUUUUGCUUUCGAAAAUCAAUUUUUACUGGUCUUCUUUGAUUUUGCAGCAGAUCUCCUUUUCCUUGCAUGGAUUUCCUCAGGAAGUCCCACAAGCACUUGUUCACUAGUAGUAUACUAUACUGAUCAUGUCAUCUUAUAAUCCUUUUGAGAGGUUUAUCCCAUUUCUAUAUCUAAAAUCCUUAUUUUUCCUUUCUAGACAUUUGUUUGCCAAACAAUUCUUAUCACCACAUAUAAAACAUUUACAUUUGCUCCUUUGA